GUCUUGUGUUUGAGAUCCUGUGCGAGCAUGGAAGUUAAUUUUUGCUCAGUUGUGUGUUAGGGUUUUGGUGGAGUUGGGUUUCUGAAAAGGUUGUUUGUUAGUGGGGAGAAAUUUGAGGGAUUUAGGAGUUAAUUUUUAUUAUUUUUAUUCUUUUUUUUCAAAUUUUUUCCCUCUUUCCAGAAAAGAAAACUGACGUUAAUUUUGUGUUCUUUCCCUUUUGCUUUUUCAUUUUUCAAUUGUUGUUUUCUUCUAUUCUGUUUCGAUCGGUAGUUACAUAUCUGUAAUAUGUUUUUCCGUUUCCCUCGGUUGUUGGUAAGUGGCUCUAGUGCUCUGCUGUUUCGAUUUCUAAAUUGCCAAAUAGAAGUUUAUAUUUUCCGUUUUGGAAAUAGUGAAUCG
RNAcentral lists this long non-coding RNA (396 nucleotides) under Gossypium raimondii (Peruvian cotton). RNAcentral's name for it is "long non-coding RNA (GRAI_LNC009767)". The record is from RNAcentral. Lineage: Eukaryota; Viridiplantae; Streptophyta; Magnoliopsida; Malvales; Malvaceae.